UUAAGUUCAGCGGGUAGUCUCACCCGAUUUGAGGUCAAGGUUUAAAACUCUGUCUUGAAUGCAAGACGGUUAGAAGCGGGGUCUGAAGCGACAGUGCGAAACCCAAGACGUAGAAACAUCUUAUCACGUCAAGGAUCGGCAAAGCAGACCACACUAAUCCAUUUAGGAGGAGCUGGCUUCAAAGAGGCCAGCAAUGAAAG
Molecule: unclassified non-coding RNA, 200 nt
Filed under: Russula sp.
Lineage: Eukaryota; Fungi; Basidiomycota; Agaricomycetes; Russulales; Russulaceae
Description: partial internal transcribed spacer 2
Source: RNAcentral